CGAAGAGAGGUUAGGGUUUCUUUAGGUUUCCGUACUUUCCUGUUGAGCACUGCGGCGCAACUCGCCUUGCUGCGGUUGGUGGUGGCGAUGGAGAUUGCAGCGCGGCUGAAGGGAACCUACUGGGUUGGUGACAUUUACAAGAGAGUCUUGAAGAUUUUCCAGAACGGGAAAGAUUUUGGAAGAACAAAGAGGAACUACAGAAUCAUUGCUUACAUUGACACAAUUGAAUGGGAAGCCAUCAUUCUUUAAAGGGCAAUGACCAAGCAGUACCAGCAGAAAUUGAAGUACCAGCAGAAGGCUAAGAAGGGAUCAUGGCACAAGUUGCAGUUUCCACCCUGCCCAUUGAAGAUGAGGAGUCCAUGGAAGAUGAGGAGUCUGUUGAAGACGAGGAGUCCGUUGAAGAUGAGUCCGCGGAGAGCAGGAUGCUGGUGACAUUGCUCAUAUCAGCUCUUGAGUCCACGCUACUGGAAGCCUCCGAAUUCCAACGACGUGCUUUCAAUCAGGUCUGAUCCUUCCCCUGGCGGAUACCUCUGACUCAGGUGUGCUACAAAUGCAUUGCCCCUAGUUGCUUCUAUCACCUUAGUGAUGGAAGUGAGAAGAGGGUACUGGAGAAAGAAAAGGUGUACAGGGUUCCAAAUGUACUUUCUUUUUCCAGAGGACACUCGUGAAGCCAGUGGAAAGCAAACAAGCUGCUAAAUAAGUCACAAGCGUGUUCUCAUACAGUUUUGCGAUUAAAUAGGACAUUCAAUCAAUAAAAUUUGUUUUACAUAGUUCCUCCUCUGAUAGGAUGAACUUGUGGAUUGUGAGACAGGGCUGAUAGAACCUGUUUUCUCUCUGCCUCUUUUUUUUCCCCCAAGUUUUGUGUGCAAUACAUUAGGAAAAAUAUAAUUGGGCUACAAAGCUACAAAAAUGGCUUCCUGACAGCCUCAUACUUGUUUCCAUGUGGUGCCUAUGUUUGGCACUGUGUUCUCAUUUGCAUUUUCCUACUUGAUUAGUUAAUGUAUGAAGGACAAGCCUGAUCUCUACUGUGAAUUUCUACCAAGGUAUUUUAGUAGAAAAAUAAGUAUGUAAUGGUGCUGUGGACUGCUAAAGUGUGUAAAACAUUAAGAAUCUAAAAAUAUGCUCAUUUCCAAGUUUUGUCCCAGAGCAACUGUGCACGCUGAUUAAAUCACUACUGUUAUUUGAAGUUAUCCAUUUGCAUGUCUAAGAAAUGGAUUCAUACUGAUUGUCCCAUUUUGAUCUCAAAAAACUCCUGAAUAUGAGAGUCGUGAUCAAGGGACGCUUCAUGAAAUGUUCCAAAGUUAAAGUGUGCAAUGAAACUAGAUUCGUCAUAGCCUCAUCUAAAAUAAUUAUUUCUAAAAUUGUUGUUGUUUAAUUAUAAGCUGUAUCCUUUCAGGAUACUUGGAAGAGCCAUAACAGUGUUUAUAUUUUUACAGAACAAACAUAAAUUAUCUAUGAAAUAAUCACUCAGAUAUAGAGAUUAGUUCCUAUUGGCCUUACAUAUGAAUAUAAAUAAGUAAAAAUUAUUAACGUAUAAGCAUACUUAUAAUUAUGUAAAUGUGUGUGUAAUGUUAUUUGUAAGUUCAAUAAAGUCAUGCUUGUACAUAGUUUCAAUUCAUGCUUCUAAAAACCACUCAAUGUAGUCAUUAUCGUAUGUUAAUAAAUAAUCUCUGAAAA
This is a long non-coding RNA of Homo sapiens (human), 1677 nucleotides long. Lineage: Eukaryota; Metazoa; Chordata; Mammalia; Primates; Hominidae. The record is from Ensembl.